Molecule: small RNA, 571 nt
Filed under: Pongo abelii (Sumatran orangutan)
Lineage: Eukaryota; Metazoa; Chordata; Mammalia; Primates; Hominidae
Description: retained intron
Source: RNAcentral
GCGGUCGGUCGGCGCCUAUUCUCGGGCUCUUUGGCGGACGAAGCUUCACAAAAGAUGUCUAAGCAACAGCCAACUCAGUUUAUAAAUCCAGAAACACCUGGCUAUGUUGGAUUUGCAAAUCUCCCCAAUCAAGUUCACCGAAAAUCAGUGAAAAAAGGUUUUGAGUUCACACUGAUGGUGGUCGGUGAAUCAGGUCUAGGAAAAUCGACUCUCAUAAACAGCCUAUUCCUAACUGAUCUCUACCCAGAAAGAGUCAUACCUGGAGCAGCAGAAAAAAUUGAAAGAACUGUCCAGAUUGAGGCUUCAACUGUUGAAAUUGAAGAGCGAGGGGUCAAGCUACGCCUGACAGUGGUAGAUACCCCUGGCUAUGGUGACGCUAUCAACUGCAGAGAUUGUUUUAAGACAAUUAUCUCCUAUAUUGAUGAGCAAUUUGAGAGGUACCUGCAUGACGAGAGCGGCUUGAACAGGAGGCACAUCAUUGAUAAUAGGGUGCAUUGUUGCUUUUACUUUAUUUCACCUUUUGGACAUGGGUAAGUAAUUGUUUACCGUGGAGAAAUGCUUUACUACAUGG